Molecule: ribosomal RNA, 737 nt
Filed under: uncultured bacterium
Lineage: Bacteria
Description: bacterial SSU rRNA
Rfam family: Bacterial small subunit ribosomal RNA
Source: RNAcentral
AGAGUUUGAUCCUGGCUCAGGAUGAACGCUAGCUACAGGCUUAACACAUGCAAGUCGAGGGGCAGCAUUAUCGAAGCUUGCUUUGAUAGAUGGCGACCGGCGCACGGGUGCGUAACACGUAUCCAAUCUACCCAUGGCUCAGGGAUAGCCUUUCGAAAGAAAGAUUAAUACCUGAUGGUUUCGUUUUUCCGCAUGGGAAGACGAAUAAAGAUUUAUCGGCGAUGGAUGAGGAUGCGUCCGAUUAGGUAGUUGGCGGGGUAACGGCCCACCAAGGCGACGAUCGGUAGGGGCUCUGAGAGGAGGAUCCCCCACAUUGGAACUGAGACACGGUCCAAACUCCUACGGGAGGCAGCAGUGAGGAAUAUUGGUCAAUGGGCGAAGGCCUGAACCAGCCAAGUAGCGUGAGGGACGACUGCCCUAUGGGUUGUAAACCUCUUUUGUUUGGGAAUAAAGUGAGCCACGUGUGGCUUUUUGUAUGUACCUUACGAAUAAGCAUCGGCUAAUUCCGUGCCAGCAGCCGCGGUAAUACGGAAGAUGCGAGCGUUAUCCGGAUUUAUUGGGUUUAAAGGGAGCGUAGCGGGUCUUUAAGCCAGCGGUCAAAUGUCAUGGCCCAACCUUGGCAUGCCGUUGGAACUGUUGGCCUUGAAUACACACAAGGAAGGUGGAAUUCGUCGUGUAGCGGUGAAAUGCUUAGAUAUGACGAAGAACUCCGAUUGCGAAGGCAGCCUUCUGGGGUG